AUGCUUACCAAAGGGAGGAGAGUUGCCGGGAGGGGUGAAGACAUGUCUGCACAUUAUGCAUUUGGGCCACAUGAGGAUGAUGCGAUUAUCAAACAUCGGCUUCUGACUAGGACCACAACUACCAGGGGUGAACCACCCCUAAAGAAGCUCCAAAAGAAGUUCAUGUCCUUCGCCACCGAGGUAGAGAAGGAUGCAGACAAUACAAGUGAUUGUGAGAGGCUGUACAAGGCCUUUCUGCAGGAAAUAAACACUUUUGAGCUGCCUCUUCUAAAAAGCAAGGCUGUAGUUGAUGCAAAUCUCAGGGAAAAGGAGAGCUUCAACGAGCUGCAGGUUGAGAUCCAGCGACAAAUCUUGCAAGCUCAGACUGAUAUUGAGGAUCUUAAAAAGCAACUUGAGCAAAGCAAGAUUGAGAGGCAGCACAAAGAGGAGUGUGAAGCAAUCAGAAAACUGAUUUCCUCGCAGCCUCCACGGUCAGAAACCGAGAAACUUAUCGCUAAUCUUGAGAAGGAGAUAGCUAAUUUGGAGGCCGAGAGUGCAGCAUGUACAAGGACGUUAGAGCUUAGGAAGAAGCAGUUUGCUCUUCUUCUUCAUGUGGUGGAGGAAUUGCAAAUCUCGAUCGAAGAUGAGCAAAGGAACAUAGCAGAUGAGCUGAGAGCAGCCACUGAAGAGCCAAAGUUGAGCAUAGAGGAAGGCAGCGGCGGUGCUUCGGAUGCGAUGGCUGUAGACUGA
Molecule: ribosomal RNA, 729 nt
Filed under: Triticum aestivum (bread wheat)
Lineage: Eukaryota; Viridiplantae; Streptophyta; Magnoliopsida; Poales; Poaceae
Description: partial small subunit ribosomal RNA
Source: RNAcentral